Molecule: ribosomal RNA, 200 nt
Filed under: uncultured bacterium
Lineage: Bacteria
Description: partial 16S ribosomal RNA
Rfam family: Bacterial small subunit ribosomal RNA
Source: RNAcentral
AUUGAACGCUGGCGGCAGGCCUAACACAUGCAAGUCGAGCGGGGUUUUCGGACCUAGCGGCGGACGGGUGAGUAAUGCGUAGGAAGCUGCCCGAUAGAGGGGGAUACCAGUUGGAAACGACUGUUAGUACCGCAUAAUGUCUACGGACCAAAGUGUGGGACCUUCGGGCCACAUGCUAUCGGAUGCGCCUACGUGGGAUU